GACGAACGCUGGCGGCGUGCUUAACACAUGCAAGUCGAACGGACAGGCCCUGCGCUUGCGGCGUGCUCGUUUGGCGAACGGGGGAGUAACACGUGAGUAACCUGCCCUUGACUUUGGGGUAACAUCACGAAACUGCGGCUAAUACCCGAUAGGAUAUCCUGCUGCAUGGUGGGGGUUGGAAAAUUUCGGCUGUUGUGGCUGGUUUCGCGGCUUAUGAGCUUGUUUGUGGGGUAGGGGUUUACCAAGGCUUUGACGGGUAGCCCGCCUGGGAGGGUGACCGGCGACAUUGGUCCUGCGGUACGGCGCAGACGGGUACGGUAGGCAGUAGUGGGAAAUAUGGCACAAUGGGGGGAAGCGUGAUGCAGAAGCGCUGCGAGCGGAAUGACGUCUUUCGAGUUGAAAACAGCUUUCGCAUGAGACGAAGCGGGAGUGACGGUAAUGGGUAAAGAAGCACCGGCUAACUACGUG
RNAcentral lists this ribosomal RNA (468 nucleotides) under uncultured bacterium. RNAcentral describes it as "partial 16S ribosomal RNA". It matches the Rfam family "Bacterial small subunit ribosomal RNA", at positions 28 to 507 of the family's 1533-position model. The record is from RNAcentral.